Molecule: long non-coding RNA, 2841 nt
Organism: Oryctolagus cuniculus (rabbit)
Lineage: Eukaryota; Metazoa; Chordata; Mammalia; Lagomorpha; Leporidae
Source: Ensembl
ACUGCUUCUGUGUGGCAUUCAUAAAGUGAGGAGCCACUCCCUCAGCCCCUCUACUUGUCCCUCAUCCACAUCCCUGCAAUACAAUGACAAAGACAGGGAAUAUCCUUGCCCUGACACACUCCACAGUGCUCACAGAAAUGGGCACACAGUCCCAAGGUGGUCUGGGGUAUAAAAGUGCUUUAGCUUCAUUGGGACAUUGAGCGCCAAGGGGAUUCUAUUCCCUGAAACUAGACAACUGGCUUCUGGCAAGCUUGUUCUUUCCUGUGCCAAGGGUGCUGGAAGAGGGGCACCAGAGCCCUCUGCUCCUGAUGUGCCUUCUGGCCUUUAGCUGACAGCAUCCUCUGCUCCUGUGUUUCUGUCUAACCCUCUCUAUGUCCUGCUUGGUCUGCCCUAUCUUUGUGAAAACUCACAUUGUCUGAACAAGGGGAAGAUCUAGACUGGAUGGUUUAUAGAGGAUGGUCCUAUCCCUUUGAUUAACAGACCCUUUCAGACUGCUAGGAAGGUUUGGUGGAACUGGGUUGGAACUGAAUGACCUUGUGCUAAGCCCUCAUCUUUUCCACCUCUUCUGUCCUCCCCUCUGCAUUCACACCUCAGGGUGUGUGGAGAUCCAACCCCACUGGAAGGGCCAGAUACCUCAAGGAAGAUGGAUCCUACCUGCUCUGUGGAUUUUGGGCUGAUGAGCCUGAAGCACCAGCCCAGGCCUGGUCUGAGACUGUGAAAUGUACAAUCCAGCAGCCCGUCUGCUGUGCUGAGGCCAAUGUGGUGGAAGACCUUUCCUACAAAAAGGAGGAAGGGGAGGUGGCAACUGCAGUCCAGGCUGAGCCUAUCCCCAGGGUGUGUGGAGAUCCACCCCCACUGGAAAGGCCAGAUGUCAUCCUGCCUAUCCUGAAGGAUGACAGAUCCUACAUGCUCUGUGGAUAUUGGGCUGUUGAGUCUGGAACACCAGUGCAGGUUUCUGCUGAGCCUUGGCACCUUACAGCCCAGCAGCCCAUCUGCUGUGCUGAGGCCAUUGUGGUAGAAGAUGCCUCAAGCCAAAAGGAGGAAGGAGAGGUGGCAUCUCCAGACCUGGCCGAGGCAAACCCCAGGGUGUGUGGAGAUCCACCCCCACUGGAAGGGCCAGAUGCCAUCGUGCCUAUCCUCAAGGAUGAUGGGUCCUACAUGCUCUGUGGAUACUGGGCAGAUGAACCUGAAGCACCAGCCCAGGCCUGGGCUAGGGCCUGGCACUUUACAACCCAGCAACCCCUCUGCUGUGCUGAGGCCAUUGUGGUGGAAGACUCCUCAAACAAAAAGGAGAAAGUCAAGGGGGCAUCCUCAGAUCAGGCUGAGGCUAUGUCCAGGGUGGGUGAAGAUCCACCCCCACUGGAAGGGCCAGAUGUCAUCACACCUAUCCUCAAGGAUGAUGGGUCCUACAUGCUCUGUGGAUUUUGGGCAGAUGAUCCUGAAGCACCAGUCCAGGCCUGUGCUGAGCCCUGGUACCUUACAACCCAGAAGCCCAUUUGCUGUGCUGAAGCCAUUGCGGUGGAAGAGCCUUCCUGCAAAAAGGAGGAAGGGGACUCAGCAUCUGCAGAGCAGGCCGAGGCUAUACCCAGGGUGUGUGGAGAUCCACCCCCACUGGAAGGGCCAGAUGCCAUCGUGCCUAUCCUCAAGGAAGAUGGAUCCUACCUGCUCUGUGGAUAUUGGGCUGAUGAGCCUGAAGCACCAGUCCAGGCCUGGGCUGGGGCCUGGCACUUUACAACCCAGCAGCCCAUCUGCAGUGCUGAGGACACUUUGGUGGAAGAGCCCUCAUUUCAAGAGGAGGAAGGUGUGGUGGCACCUGCAGACCAGGCUGAGGCUAAUCAGAGCCUCUGCUCUGCAUCACACCUCGGGGUGUGUGAAGAUCCACCCCCACUGGAAGGGCCAGAUGUCAUUGUGCCUAUUCUCAAGGAUGAUGGGUCCUACAUGCUCUGUGCAAUUUGGAUGGAUGAUCCUGAAGCACCAGUCCAGGCCUGGGCUGGAGCCUGGCACCCUACAACCCAGCAGCCCAUCUGCUGUGCUGAGGCCAUUGUGGUGAAAGAUGCCACCUACCAAAAAGAGAAAGUCAUGUUGGCAACUGCUGAUUGGGCUGAGGCUACCUCCAGGGUGAGUGGAGAUCCACCCCCACUGGAAGGGCCAGAUGCCAUCGUGCCCAUCCUCAAGGAUGAUGGGUCCUACAUGCUCUGUGCAUAUUGGGCUGAUGAGCCUGAAGCCCCAGUCCAGGCCUGGGCUGGGGCCCUGCACCCUAUAAUCCAGCAGCCCAUCUGCUGUGCGGAGGCCAUUGUGGUGGAAGAUGCCUCCAGCCAGAAGGAGAAAAUAGAGGUGGCAUUUGCAGAGCAGACUGAGGCCACACCCAGGGUGGGUGAAGAUCCACCCCCACUGGAAGGGCCAGAUGUCAUCGUGCCUAUCCUCAAGGAUGACGGAUCCUACCUGCUCUGUGCAUAUUGGGCAGAUGAGCCUGAAGCCCCAGUCCAGGCCUGGGCUGGGGCCCUGCACCCUACAGCCCAGCAGCCCACCUGCUGUGCUGAGGCCAUUCUCGUGGAAGAGCCCUCAUCACAAGAGGAGGAAGGGAAAGUGGCACGUGCAGACCAGGCCGAGGCUAAUCAGAGGGUGUGUGGAGAUCCACCCCCACUGGAAGGGCCAGAUGUCAUUGUGCCUAUCCUCAAGGAUGAUGGUUCCUAUGUGCUCUGUGCAUAUUGGGCAGAUGAGCCUGAAGCACCAGCCCAGGUCUGGGCUGAGGCCUGGCAUGCAAAAACCCAGCAGUCCAUCUGCUGUGCUGAGGCUUUUUGGGUGCUAAGAACUUCCUCUGGUGGAUACCAUGAAACCUGA